UCACCGCCCCUCACCGCCACUCCUCCCUCACCGGCGAUCUUCCCUCACCGCCGAUUUCAAAGGAUGGUGAUGGAGAUCGAUGACUGAGAUCGAUGCCAAAGAACUACGACAGCAAAAAAUGAGGCAAAGCUUCUAAUUUUUUGGAAAAUACGGAGUCUUUGUCUGAUAAGGAGAAGACCUUGUUAUCCCUAGCAAAGAUGGGGUAUACGGUGGAAGAGGCGUCAAUAGCUAUGGAUAGAUGUGGUGCAUAUUUGAUAAUAUGUUUGUUUUAUGCUAUUUUUGGUUUUGAUAUUGUUUGUUCCGGAGAUCAUUCAGGUUUUUGGAUUUAUAUUCUGCCACACGUAUCUUUCCAUGUAUGUUUUGUUCUGUCCAUUAUCUGUCAACAUGUGAAUAGUUGGUUGUGGUUUCUUUUUGUUUUGGUUGUUAAAUUUUGUUGUCAUAAUCUGCAUUCCAUUUCCUCAUGGGACUUGCUACUUACACUGCA
Molecule: non-coding RNA, 484 nt
Organism: Camellia sinensis
Lineage: Eukaryota; Viridiplantae; Streptophyta; Magnoliopsida; Ericales; Theaceae
Source: RefSeq, a predicted model, not a curated record